UGGGGAAUCUUGGACAAUGGGCGCAAGCCUGAUCCAGCCAUGCCGCGUGAGUGAAGAAGGUCUUCGGAUUGUAAAGCUCUUUUACCAGGGAUGAUAAUGACAGUACCUGAAGAAUAAGCCCCGGCAAACUUCGUGCCAGCAGCCGCGGUGAUACGAAGGGGGCUAGCGUUGUUCGGAAUUACUGGGCGUAAAGCGCACGUAGGCGGAUAUUUAAGUCAGGGGUGAAAUCCCAGAGCUCAACUCUGGAAC
RNAcentral lists this ribosomal RNA (249 nucleotides) under uncultured Hyphomicrobiales bacterium. RNAcentral's name for it is "uncultured Rhizobiales bacterium partial 16S ribosomal RNA". It matches the Rfam family "Bacterial small subunit ribosomal RNA", at positions 355 to 621 of the family's 1533-position model. The record is from RNAcentral. Lineage: Bacteria; Pseudomonadati; Pseudomonadota; Alphaproteobacteria; Hyphomicrobiales.